GAUGAACGCUGGCGGCGUGCCUAAUACAUGCAAGUCGAGCGAACGGACGAGAAGCUUGCUUCUCUGAUGUUAGCGGCGGACGGGUGAGUAACACGUGGAUAACCUACCUAUAAGACUGGGAUAACUUCGGGAAACCGGAGCUAAUACCGGAUAAUAUUUUGAACCGCAUGGUUCAAAAGUGAAAGACGGUCUUGCUGUCACUUAUAGAUGGAUCCGCGCUGCAUUAGCUAGUUGGUAAGGUAACGGCUUACCAAGGCAACGAUGCAUAGCAGACCUGAGAGGGUGAUCGGCCACACUGGAACUGAGACACGGUCCAGACUCCUACGGGAGGCAGCAGUAGGGAAUCUUCCGCAAUGGGCGAAAGCCUGACGGAGCAACGCCGCGUGUGUGAUGAAGGUCUUCGGAUCGUAAAACUCUGUUAUUAGGGAAGAACAUAUGUGUAAGUAACUGUGCACAUCUUGACGGUACCUAAUCAGAAAGCCACGGCUAACUACGUG
RNAcentral lists this ribosomal RNA (497 nucleotides) under uncultured bacterium. RNAcentral's name for it is "partial 16S ribosomal RNA". It matches the Rfam family "Bacterial small subunit ribosomal RNA", at positions 28 to 507 of the family's 1533-position model. The record is from RNAcentral.